RNAcentral lists this small RNA (674 nucleotides) under Leucoagaricus bresadolae. Its description in RNAcentral is "eukaryotic LSU rRNA". The stretch from base 241 to 394 matches the Rfam family "5.8S ribosomal RNA". Lineage: Eukaryota; Fungi; Basidiomycota; Agaricomycetes; Agaricales; Agaricaceae. The record is from RNAcentral.
GCGGAAGGACAUUAUUGAAUGUUGCUUGAUGGGUUGUAGCUGGCCCUUCGGGGCAUGUGCACGCCUGUCUUGACUACUAUUCAUCCACCUGUGCACACUUUGUAGUCUUUCGGGGUCUGGGAAGCGGCUGACAUUGUCAGUCGUGCUGAACCUCCCUCGGGGACUAUGUCUUUAUUCAUACACCAUGUAGUAUGUUGCAGAAUGUAAUCAAUGGGCCUUUGUGCCUAUAAAACCUUAUACAACUUUCAGCAACGGAUCUCUUGGCUCUCGCAUCGAUGAAGAACGCAGCGAAAUGCGAUAAGUAAUGUGAAUUGCAGAAUUCAGUGAAUCAUCGAAUCUUUGAACGCACCUUGCGCUCCUUGGUAUUCCGAGGAGCAUGCCUGUUUGAGUGUCAUUAAAUUCUCAACCCCUCCAGCUUUUGUGGCUGGCCCUUGGGGCUUGGAUGUGGAGGUUUUUGCGGGCCUUUCGAGGUCGGCUCCUCUGAAAUGCAUUAGCGGAACCGUUUGCGAUCCGUCACAGGUGUGAUAAUUAUCUACGCCAGUGGGUUGCUCUCUGUCUGUUCAGCUUCUAACUGUCCUCGCGGACGACUUUCUGAACGUUUGACCUCAAAUCAGGUAGGACUACCCGCUGAACUUAAGCAUACAUAAACGGGGAAAAAAAAAAGGGUUUUAGGU